RNAcentral lists this ribosomal RNA (600 nucleotides) under uncultured bacterium. Its description in RNAcentral is "partial 16S ribosomal RNA". The stretch from base 1 to 385 matches the Rfam family "Bacterial small subunit ribosomal RNA", at positions 90 to 539 of the family's 1533-position model. The record is from RNAcentral.
UGACGAAGCGGGACGGGCGAGUAUGUCUAGAACUGCUGAUGAGGGGAUACUACUGAACGGUAGCUAUACGAUACGUCGCAGACCAAGAGGGGGACCUUCGGGCCUCUUGCAUCAAUGUGCCCAAUGGAUUACUAUAGUGGUACGGUCACUAGGAAUCCCUACUGGUCUGAGAGGAUGACCAGCCACACUGGAACUGAGACACGGUCCAGACUCCUACGGGAGGCAGCAGUGGGGAAUAUUGCACAAUGGGCGCAAGCCUGAUGCAGCCAUGCCGCGUGUAUGAAGAAGGCCUUCGGGUUGUAAAGUACUUUCAGCGGGGAGGAAGGUGUGGGAAACCAAAUGACUCCGCAAAACCGUAACCCCCAAACAGGCCCGGCGGGUAAACUCACGGGAAGGGGUGGACAACAGCGCCAAAUCCCGGGCAAAUUUNACUCGGGCCUGAAAAAGACGACACGCCAAGGGCGCGGCCCUGGGCACNAAUUNCAGGAUAUGCGUGAAAUUCCCCCANCGGGGGGANACAAAACCUAUGGGGAACNCAGGNUUUACAGCAAAAGCCAGGGGAGACAGNGUACAAAGCAACAGGGAACCAGCGAGGGGCAA